This 895-nucleotide long non-coding RNA is filed under the name Catharus ustulatus (Swainson's thrush). RNAcentral describes it as "lncRNA (ENSCUSG00005000958.1)". The record is from RNAcentral. Lineage: Eukaryota; Metazoa; Chordata; Aves; Passeriformes; Turdidae.
CUUACAUCUAGCCUAAAUCUACCCUCUUUUAGUUUAAAACCUUACACCUUGUCCUGUCAAUACAUGCUCUGGUAAAAAGUCUGUCCCGAUCUUUUUGAUAAGCCCCCAUUGCUGGGAGCUCGUCUUUCUGGCAAUGACCUGACCACUCGUUGGCUUUCUUUCCCCCAGCCCCUCCAUUACAAACUCUUGGGCUUUAGCUCAGUGGUUUAGGAAGAGCCAGCAGAAUGAACUGGCAGAUGAAAUUAUUGCAGUCAGUGCCGAGGAGCAGAAAGAGGAAUUACACCUCUGUGCCUCCUGCCUUUGUCAGCCGCUGGUUUGGAAGGAAGGGAGGCAGAACAAGGACACCACGCAUCCACUGUGCUCCCCUGCCCUCUGUCCCUGGAGGGAAUGACAGCCUUGCUUUUAACAUCUAUAGUCUUCGCUGUCGAACAGUGUGCAAAUAUUGCACAGCUCCACAGGCUUGACAGGCUGUCGGGCCGCAGAGUGACUCUGUGGGCAUCGGCUGAGGGGUGCCCGGCCGGCCCAUCCUCUGCCCGGGGCCCUCCCGUGACUCCGGGAAAUGGCCGAGCCGCACUCAGUGCCGCAAACCUGCCCCACAGGGCAUCCCCCGCGCUGGGCUGUCCUCCAGAGCUCUGCAGGACCCGUCUGCAGAGCUGUGCUUCAGUGUAGCAGCCCAGGAGCGCUGCUCCUGCUGCAUGUCCCCGAAGAUGUCAAUGUCCUCCCCCCAGCUCCGGGAGAUGCUUCAUCAACCAGAAGCCCACCAGGCCCAGAGAACAGCAACCUCGACCAUCAGUGCCCAGAAAGCAACAAGAAGCCCUUGGGGCAGUCCACAAUAUUAUAUGAUUACUCAGAGGAGGAGCUCAUGGCAAGCAUCGAGCGGGAGUACUGCCGCUGA